UUGUAAACUGCUUUUGUACAGAACGAAAAGCUUUGGGUUAAUACCCUGGAGCCAUGACGGUACUGUAAGAAUAAGCACCGGCUAACUACGUGCCAGCAGCCGCGGUAAUACGUAGGGUGCAAGCGUUAAUCGGAAUUACUGGGCGUAAAGCGUGCGCAGGCGGCUAUGCAAGACUGAUGUGAAAUCCCCGGGCUCAACCUGGGAACUGCAUUAGUGACUGCAUAGCUGGAGUGCGGCAGAGGGGGAUGGAAUUCCGCGUGUAGCAGUGAAAUGCGUAGAUAUGCGGAGGAACACCGAUGGCGAAGGCAAUCCCCUGGGCCUGCACUGACGCUCAUGCACGAAAGCGUGGGGAGCAAACAGGAUUAGAUACCCUGGUAGUCCACGCCCUAAACGAUGUCAACUGGUUGUUGGGAAUUUAUUUUCUCAGUAACGAAGCUAACGCGUGAAGUUGACCGCCUGGGGAGUACGGUCGCAAGACUAAAACUCAAGGAAUUGACGGG
RNAcentral lists this ribosomal RNA (500 nucleotides) under Lampropedia hyalina. Its description in RNAcentral is "bacterial SSU rRNA". It matches the Rfam family "Bacterial small subunit ribosomal RNA", at positions 423 to 917 of the family's 1533-position model. The record is from RNAcentral. Lineage: Bacteria; Pseudomonadati; Pseudomonadota; Betaproteobacteria; Burkholderiales; Comamonadaceae.